Molecule: long non-coding RNA, 247 nt
Filed under: Elaeis guineensis (African oil palm)
Lineage: Eukaryota; Viridiplantae; Streptophyta; Magnoliopsida; Arecales; Arecaceae
Description: long non-coding RNA (EGUI_LNC052779)
Source: RNAcentral
AGAUCACCACGGUGACUUGCAAGCAACUCACUAUACUUUGAUAUCGGACUAUCUAAAUUUUUAAUUCAAUGAUGAAAAAUUUUUGGCCAUGAUUAAGUACUUGUUAAGUUGAUGUAUGAGUCAAGAUAGGAUUGACCGCUCUUGAUUUCAGGAGUUGGUACUAUAUUGUGUUUCAAUUCAAUAAAAUUUUGGCCAGGAUAGUCUUUGUGAGAGUCACAGGAUUUAUGAGGUUGAGACACAUUAUGGU